This is an RNA transcript of Drosophila subpulchrella, 6963 nucleotides long. It is a transcript of the gene named protein turtle, with no coding region annotated. The record is from RefSeq and is a predicted model, not a curated record. Lineage: Eukaryota; Metazoa; Arthropoda; Insecta; Diptera; Drosophilidae. The transcript is spliced from 11 exons.
AGCACUCCUGACGCAGAUUCAGUACUCAAUUGUUGUUCCACCACGGCGUACGUGAACGCGGAUGAAAACCGAUUUCCAAUCCAAUCCAAAGCAAUUCAAAAUCCCAUUUCUAUCGCAGCGUUUUGUGGCCCCCCACGGUAAAGUCAACGGUUUCAAAGUCCUUCGUCAAAACGCAUACGCCCAGUGUACUCGAAGUCGAAAGUGUCAUAAAGUAUGCGAUUAUCCUGUAAACAAAGUGUAAAACGCGCCCAAUAAACGCCGAAAAAGAAAGGCAAACAACAAACAACUCCCGGAUUUUACGACUUGAGCAAUCAAUUCCGCUGGUCACCCGGGGAUUUGAGGACUCCCUCCAGGACUUGGAUUUCCCCCCGGAACAGAACUAUAGAAUCGGAUCUGGGCACGUCGUAUAAUGAUUGCGCAAGUGAGAUGACGCCACUGCCGGUGAGAAGGAUACGUUAGGGCGGCGUCGAACUAUGGGAACAGAGGCAUGGGCGUGUGCGCGGACCUUGGGUCUCAUCGAUGGUGUCGGGCAUUGAGCACCACCCAGCACAACAGCACCCAGCAAUCGGAGGAGCAGGAUCAGCAGCUGGAUCAGCAGUCCCUGGAGAUCCCCUCCAGGAGUCCAACGACGAUUCCCGCUACUAAAACGCUGACGGCAUCGCCGGCGAAAACGGCAGCUUUCACAGUGAAAACGACCAGGAGAAGACGAAGCCGGCGAAGGGCAGAAGGCAGCUCCAUCUGGAUUCCCCUCUGGAAAGGUCAGGGGUCAACGCCUACGAUACAGGUGCUCCAGCUCGUACUGGUCUCGUUGCUGGCCCUUCUAGCGAAAAAUGCCCAGGCGCACAACAUUCCAGAAGACGCCGUGCACAUCACGGCCAUCCUCGGCGAGGGCGUCAUCUUCAACUGCCAUGUGGAGUUCCCCAACGACCACCCCGUGCCAUAUGUCCUGCAGUGGGACAAGAAGGUGAGCGAAACGGGCUCCGAUCUGCCCAUCUACAUCUGGUAUGAGAGCUAUCCGGAGCACAUCGAGGAGGGCUACAAGGGACGCGUGUCCCGCGUGUCGCAGGACUCGCCCUUCGGCUCCGCCUCGCUCAACCUGACCAACAUCCGUGAGUCGGACCAGGGAUGGUACGAGUGCAAGGUCGUCUUCCUCAACCGGGACCCCAAGCAGCAUAAGAACGGUACAUGGUUCCACUUAGACGUACAUGCACCGCCGCGCUUUAGUGUUACGCCAGAGGAUAUUAUAUACGUUAAUUUAGGUGAUUCAAUUAUACUCAAUUGCCAGGCAGAUGGCACGCCCACGCCGGAAAUACUCUGGUACAAGGAUGCCAAUCCCGUCGAUCCCUCGCCCACGGUGGGCAUCUUCAACGACGGCACCGAGCUGCGGAUCUCCACCAUUCGGCACGAGGACAUCGGAGAGUACACUUGCAUUGCACGCAAUGGUGAGGGACAAGUCUCCCAUACGGCCCGUGUUAUAAUCGCGGGCGGCGCUGUAAUCAUGGUGCCCCCGACCAACCAAACGAAGAACGAGGGCGAAAAAGUGAUAUUCUCCUGCGAGGCUAAGGCCAUGCCCGGGAAUGUCACGGUGCGCUGGUACCGCGAGGGGUCCCCCGUGCGGGAGGUGGCCUCCCUGGAGACCCGGGUCACCAUCCGAAAGGACGGCUCGCUCAUCAUCAACCCCAUCAAGCCGGACGACUCGGGCCAGUACCUCUGCGAGGUGACCAACGGCAUCGGCGAUCCGCAGAGCGCCUCCGCCUACCUCAGCGUCGAAUAUCCCGCCAAGGUCACCUUCACGCCCACGGUGCAGUACCUGCCGUUCCGGCUGGCCGGCGUGGUCCAGUGCUACAUCAAGUCGAGCCCCCAGCUGCAGUACGUCACCUGGACGAAGGACAAGCGCCUGCUGGAGCCCUACCAGAUGAAGGACAUCGUGGUGAUGGCCAACGGAUCGCUGCUGUUCACGCGGGUGAACGAGGAGCACCAGGGCCAGUACUCCUGCACGCCGUACAAUGCGUUGGGAACGGCCGGUGCCUCCGGGAUCAUGGACGUGCUGGUCAGGAAGCCACCCGCCUUCACGGUGGAGCCGGAGACGCUCUACCAGCGGAAGGUGGGCGACAGCGUGGAGAUGCACUGCGACGCCCUGGAGGCGGAGGGCACCGAGAGGCCCACCAUAAAGUGGCAGCGCCAAGAGGGCGAGCAGCUGGCCGAGUCGCAGCGCAACCGCAUCAAGAUCUCGGGGGGCAACAUCACCAUAGAGAACCUGCGGCGGGAGGACUUCGGCUACUACCAGUGUGUGGUGUCCAACGAGGUGGCCACCCUGAUGGCCGUGACCCAGCUGGUGAUCGAGGGCACCCAGCCCCAUGCCCCCUACAACAUCACCGGCAAGGCCACAGAGUCCUCGAUAACGCUGCAAUGGCUGCCGGGAUAUAGCGGGGGAUCGGAGUACAAGCAGGACUAUACCAUCUGGUUCCGGGAGGCGGGGGUCAACGACUGGCAGACCAUCUCCGUAACGCCCUCGGGCAGCACACAGGUGACCAUCAACGGUCUGGCCUCCGGAACCACCUACGAGUUCCAGGUGGUGGGCAGGAAUGUCCUCGGCGACGGGAUGAUGAGCAAAGUGAUGACCGUGCGCACCCUGGAAGACGCUCCGGCAGCGCCACGUAAUGUCAAGGCUGCAACACAACCGCCCGACUCAUUCUUUCAGCUAAUGCCAGACGAAGCUGGUCCCAAGCCAGGACCCCCGAGGAACGUUUCCGUGACGGAGGUGUCGAACGGGUUCCUCAUCACGUGGCAGUCGCCGCUGGAGCGGGCCCACAUCGUCAAGUUCUACACCAUCAAGUACCGGACGGACGCCCAGUGGAAGACCCUCAACCGGGGACAAAUCCGGCCGGAGGAGACCCAGUAUCUGGUGAAGAACCUGGUGGGCGGCAGGACCUACUACUUCCGGGUGCUGGCCAACUCGGAGAAGUCCUACGAGUCCAGCGACGAGGUGAAGUUCCCGGUGCCGGCACGUGUCAAGCACAAGGCGAUUACCGCCGGCGUCGUUGGGGGCAUCCUGUUUUUUAUUGUUGCGAUCAUUUUAUCGGUUUGUGCCGUAAAAAUUUGCAAUAAACGUAAACGACGAAAACAGGAAAAAGGUAACACUGAGGCUAAAGCUAACACACACACUUGAAAUGGUUUUUGAUGACAAUCACUAAAAAUGCUAAUGCUAAUGAUAAUGCUAACGAUAUAGAUGUACCGAUAACGUUAACGAUCGAUCGCAAACAGUAAUCGUAAUAAUCGAUGACGAUGUUCUUGUUGUUGGCGAACCCAAAACCAUUAUAAUUGUAAUUAUGACUAACCCCCAGCUAACUAACUGCCUAACGUACUAUUAAUUAAAUACAUUUCGAGUUUCCGACGGCGCAGGCCACCCAAUUAUCGAUAACUUGGAACUGAUUACCGAUAACCAUUACUUGCCGUGCUUUUAUGAGUUCAAGUUUUCCUCCUUUGGCAUUUGAGCUUAAAAUAUUGGUUUGUUCGACAACAACAGCACAUUGGAAUUUGCAUUUGAAACUGUCUGUUUGCUGAAAGUAAAAUAUUUGACAAAAUUUCUGAGCCGUCGAGGCGUUUGAUAUGAAAUUCUCCAUAAAUUAUGCCUGUCUGAGAUUUUGUAUGAUUUGUACUUUUUCGUUGUAGUUGUGCAAGUAAAAUUGAGUUACAAUUCGGCAAAAGUUGCUGAAAAAUCUCUGUAUAUAUAUUUACAUACUAAUUGGAUUUCGGUUUGCUUUUCCUUAUUUGGUUAUCCUUCUUUUUGGUUCAUGAUUUCGUUAGCCCUGAGUUCUGAUUUCUUCUUUUCUGGGCCCAAGAACCCCCUUGCCCCCUGCUCGUCCCCGCCCCUGGUCCACCCCAAUCCAUUUCCGUAGACAAAAGUGACUCCCAAAGAUCUAAGUUGAAAAUCGGCCAUCAGACCUCUGAAAUUAUCAGUUUUUGUUUGCAUUCCAUUACUUAAGCCUUCUGUUCGUAUCAUUGGGCCUACAUAUAAAUCUUUUUUUGUGUAAUCUCAAUCUGGCUUCAUAGCGCUUUGCAGCCUGUUUGUUUUCGAAUUCAACGCAUGAACAUAUUACUAGUUGUUGCCACUUUAGUUAAGCAAUCGAUUAAGCUCCAUUUGCGGGGGAACUCCUUUCGAAAGCAGUAUGAAAAACCCGGCCAAAGUUGAGCGGAAAUUGAAAUGCCAGGGCCAGAGGACCCAUACCAGAACCCCAACCAGGACUUCCAGGACAUCCAUUAUUUGACGCCCGCUGGCUUUAAUGCAAUCGAAUCAAAACCCGGACCGAAAACCGACCAUUUCGAACCUCUGUCUCUGCCUUUUGUUAUGGUUUUUGCUUUAAACUGUAUUUUAAGUGGAUUAAUUAAUGUUGCGUUGUUUAAAUCAAUUAUUUAUGUAUUCUUUCCGAGACCCCCCUCCCCCACACACUUACACGACACAGAAAAAAAAAUAACAAAGAGCAGGAAAAUUGCGAAUUUUUUAAAUCAAUGCAGCCCAUUAACUGCGAAAUAUGAUGUACAUACGUAUAUUCAAUACCGAACACAUUGUUCUACAAUUUUUUCCGUAACUCCUUUUUUUUGCUGUGGUAAGCACAUUACGAUAGAUUAACGUAAAACCGCUAAUGAUAUAAAUGUGACAAGCUGAUAACGCUGAUGAUGAUAGAAAUACCUUUAUCUCCGAACCAUUGACAAGCAUGUUCUUGGCCAAAUCGUCGUUGUUUCUGCCCAGGGCUGAGUUCAUGACAGAUAAAGGUAUUUGAAGAGACAUUUGCAGAGAGGAAACCACAUCUAUAUACAUGGCGAAUGACCAUUUAUAUAGCGCAAUACUGGGCAGACGUUUUUUGUAAACAAUUCACGCACAAAGAUGGUAAAAGAGGCCCCCAAACCAUGUCGAUAGAGCACUCGCAUCUAGAAAACAAAACCAAAACCGAGUCCAAAGCAUAAAAUGAUCGCGUCGUCAAUAGAUCCGUUAUGCCUGGGGUCCUCCGCCCCUGUCCGCCCAACCUCGGGGACUUCAAAUGGGUAUUACCAUACCCUACACCAUAUCUAUUAUAUCUUUUGAAGUCCUAGUUGGGCAGUCAAAGGGCGGAGCGACCGAGCAACGCAAAAUAUGAGUAAUGCUAUAGUAAGACCCCCUAAAACCCCAACAUCGAUGCAAGCAAGGGUAAGUUUUUGCAAUCAUUUUAAGUCGAUGUCGUGUGCCACAGAUCCUGAGUACUGACAACUAAAGGUUAUUUUCAGACGAGUUCCCACCACCCCACCAACCAGAACCAACCUAUCAAGAACCAACAACCAACUAACCAACACUGACAUCACCACAACCAUCGAUUAAGCAUCUGCAUUCCACUAACAGUCCGCAAUCCGUCGGUCACAAGUUGUCAGUGCCCCUCUUCUCGGGCAGAUCGCUCCGAUACUGCCGCAUAUAUUUCUCAAGCACCCCACACAUUCCACAGAUUUCAUAAUUACCCAAAAACCAAAACACAAGCACUGCCAAACGAAACAAAAACAAUACUUCUCAAACACUUUUCGUUUUUUGUGUGUGAAUCACAAGUUUUUGUCGCUUCUCCUCAGUUUUUGUGUUUUUGCAUCCCCCAUAAUCCCCAUAUAAUCAGCAAUAUUUGGUUCUCGAUUGCAUUAAACUUCAGUUCUUAUCUCUCAGUCUCUCUCUUUUCCGUUGGCACAAUUCGUAACUUGACCAUUUAAAAGCCAUUUCACGUGUCAUUGUUUUUUCCAACCAUUCGAAGCCAGAUCCUAAAUAAAAUACUGCGAAGAGCACACGGCUGUGUAUAUAUGCACUUCGGAGUGUAUAUGCUAUAUGGUAUAUAGCAGGUUUUCGCAUAUAGCCGUAUAUAUGUGGGUGUCCCCAAAUAGUUUGUCACCGAUAACCGUCAACUGGCCGGAGGAGCAUUAAGUUUCGAUUAUGUUGGCAUUGUUAUUCCUCGAACCCGUAGCCGCCGUUCAAUUACCCAAACUCCGAAUCACUAAUUGGCAUUGCUCCUUCUGCCCCCAACAUGUAAUUGCAACCCAAUCAACUGAAACUAAAACUGAAACCAACUAACAACAUAGUUUAGUCGUAGUCAUCUAACUGCUAACUGGUAAAUGGCAACUGUUAUCUGCUAACUGGCGACUGUUUAGUGUCCUUUAGUAAUAGCCUAGUUACUGCUAAAAUUUAAACAAUCUAAACUUAUUAGCGACGACAACUGAAACAACAUUAGUGUGUAAUCUGGCGAUGCUGGCAUGCAAAUUGGCAUAAUCAACGUGGGCAGGUGCACAGCGAGAAAGAUUCCGAUUAGAGUAAAUUGUAACAAUUUACAAUAAUGAUAUACCCUAAUUAAAGUUGGGAGUUUUUUAUAUCUCUUAAUAAGGUGCCUGAAAGUAUGCAACAUUUUUCAUUGCCUACUUUUAGACAGAUUUAUAAAAGAUAUCAAAAUCCCAGUGGUAUAAGCAUGAUAUAUCUCCAAUUUAAAAUCCAAAACCUAAGGACAACUAUUUAAAACACCUUUCUCUCUGUGCCAAUGACCUUAAUUUCAACCCGUUCUCGACCAAAAUCAACAAACAGCCGCGUUAUGCCAGCUUGUCCCUGAUUUAAGCAGAAUUUCGAAAGAGUGUAAUCGCAUUUAUAUACGUCUAUAUGUAGAGAGCACCGUAGUAGAUAUGCAUAUGCAUAGACAUAUAUCCGUGACCGUCGUGUGUGUAUAUAUAGAGUGUGUGUGCUUGGUAGCUAUACGUACGGUGUACGGGUAUUUUAUUUACCGGAUAGGACGGCUCACGCUGCACGCCAAAUUAAUUUUAGAAAUUAUACGUUUGCAGAGUUCAACAUGGUAGCUUGCAGGAUAACGGACGCUCGUAACAUUGCCGCCAAUAAUCAUCAUUUGCACAAUCGCAGUACGGGCUCAAUUUCCUCUGGUCAAGUGCCUUUAAAAAAUUCCAGGUCCAUCCUGU